GAUGAACGCUGGCGGCGUGCCUAAUACAUGCAAGUAGAACGCUGAAGGAGGAGCUUGCUCUUCUGGAUGAGUUGCGAACGGGUGAGUAACGCGUAGGUAACCUGCCUGGUAGCGGGGGAUAACUAUUGGAAACGAUAGCUAAUACCGCAUGACAACAGUUAUUGCAUGAUAACUGUUUAAAAGGGGCAACUGCUCCACUACCAGAUGGACCUGCGUUGUAUUAGCUAGUUGGUGAGGUAACGGCUCACCAAGGCGACGAUACAUAGCCGACCUGAGAGGGUGAUCGGCCAAACUGGGACUGAGACACGGCCCAGACUCCUACGGGAGGCAGCAGUAGGGAAUCUUCGGCAAUGGACGGAAGUCUGACCGAGCAACGCCGCGUGAGUGAAGAAGGCUUUCGGAUCGUAAAGCUCUGUUGUAAGAGAAGAACGAGUGUGAGAGUGGAAAGUUCACACUGUGACGGUAUCUUACCAGAAAGGGACGGCUAACUACGUG
RNAcentral lists this ribosomal RNA (495 nucleotides) under uncultured bacterium. RNAcentral describes it as "partial 16S ribosomal RNA". It matches the Rfam family "Bacterial small subunit ribosomal RNA", at positions 28 to 507 of the family's 1533-position model. The record is from RNAcentral.